GGCAGGUCUAGGGUGACGGACCCUGGAAUCGGGCUCCCUCCUCUCUGGUUCUGGGUGUGCCACCUGAGAACCAUA
Molecule: non-coding RNA, 75 nt
Organism: Myotis brandtii (Brandt's bat)
Lineage: Eukaryota; Metazoa; Chordata; Mammalia; Chiroptera; Vespertilionidae
Source: Rfam